RNAcentral lists this ribosomal RNA (659 nucleotides) under uncultured archaeon. RNAcentral's name for it is "bacterial SSU rRNA". It matches the Rfam family "Archaeal small subunit ribosomal RNA", at positions 174 to 817 of the family's 1478-position model. The record is from RNAcentral.
AAGGUCCCUCACCCAAAAGGAACUAGUGGCAUGCUUGCUAGUUUCGCUCGAGGAUAGGGCCGCGUCCGAUCAGGUCGCUGGUGAGGUAACGGCUCACCAAGCCUAUAACCGGUACGGGCCGUGAGAGCGGGAGCCCGGAGAUGGGCACUGAGAUAAGGGCCCAGGCCCUACGGGGCGCAGCAGGCGCGAAAACUUCGCAAUGCGCGAAAGCGUGACGAGGUCACCCCGAGUGCCGUCCGCUGAGGAUGGCUUUUGCCCGGUCUAACCAGCCAGGUGAAUAAGGGGAGGGCAAGUCUGGUGUCAGCCGCCGCGGUAAUACCAGCUCCCCGAGUGGUUGGGACGAUUAUUGGGUCUGAAGCGUCCGUAGCCGGUCGGAAAAGUUCCCCGUUAAAUCUGGCGAUCCAAUCGUUGGGCUGCGGGGAAUACUCUUCGACUUGGGGGCGAGGGAGGUCGGCGGUAGUCCCGGGGUAGGGGCGAAAUCCUAUAAUCCCGGGAGGACCACCAGUGGCGAAGGCGGCCGACUAAAACGCGCCCGACGGUGAGGGACGAAAGCUGGGGGAGCGAACGGGAUUAGAUACCCCGGUAGUCCCAGCUGUAAGCGAUGCAGGCUAGGUGUUGGGACGGCUACGAGCUGUUCCAGUGCCGCAGGGAAGCCAUUA